This 412-nucleotide unclassified non-coding RNA is filed under the name soil metagenome. Its description in RNAcentral is "partial contains 5.8S ribosomal RNA, internal transcribed spacer 2, and large subunit ribosomal RNA". The stretch from base 1 to 122 matches the Rfam family "5.8S ribosomal RNA", at positions 35 to 154 of the family's 154-position model. The record is from RNAcentral.
GAUGAAGAACGUAGCGAAAUGCGAUACUUGGUGUGUAUUGCAGAAUCCCGUGAACCAUCGAGUCUUUGAACGCAAGUUGCGCCCGAAGCCGUCAGGCCGAGGGCACGCCUGCCUGGGCGUCACACGCCGUUGCCCCCCCGCGCCCCGCACCCAACGCUUUGGGAGCGACCGCGGGGCGGGCUGAUGAUGGCCUCCCGUGCGCUCCGCCGCGCGGUUGGCCCAAAUACCGAGUCCCCGGCGACGUGCGCCACGACGAUCGGUGGUUGAGAGACCUCUGUCGCAAGUCGUGCGCGCCCGUCGCGUCACGCGGGCUCGCAUAGCGCCUCGCGCCGCACCCGGUGCGGAGCUUUCAACGCGACCCCAGGUCAGGCGGGGUUACCCGCUGAAUUUAAGCAUAUCAAUAAGCGGAGGA